Long non-coding RNA from Anneissia japonica, 365 nucleotides. RefSeq lists it as uncharacterized. The record is from RefSeq and is a predicted model, not a curated record. NCBI's taxonomy places the organism in Eukaryota, Metazoa, Echinodermata, Crinoidea, Comatulida, Comatulidae. The transcript has 3 exons.
GUGGAAAGUUAUGGUGUUGUUGCUUCUACUGCAAGUACAACAGAUGUGGAUCUCAAUCCCAAAGACUUCACCCUUGGUAUGUUGUUUAAUCAUUCUACUUUUGAGAGAAGCAGCAUCUAAAAUCAGUGAGCAAGUGUUACAUUUUACCAAGAGUAGGGCUUAUUUAUGUGGGGUGCAGCGCUUCGUAUCUGUAAAGAAAGGCGCUUUAUAAAUGACCAGAUUGGAUUUGAUUGGAUUUACAGUGACAGGUAAUAUACAAGACAAAGAACAGCUUCAAUAUCAUUUAAUUCAUUUCCGCUUGAAAUAUUAAUAAAAGAAAAGAAAGAAGAAAGAUAUUAUGUUUAUGAUACAAAUAAAAUGUACAA